RNAcentral lists this transfer RNA (73 nucleotides) under Salmo salar (Atlantic salmon). It matches the Rfam family "tRNA". From Rfam's summary of the family: Transfer RNA (tRNA) molecules are approximately 80 nucleotides in length. Their secondary structure includes four short double-helical elements and three loops (D, anti-codon, and T loops). The record is from Rfam by way of RNAcentral. Lineage: Eukaryota; Metazoa; Chordata; Actinopteri; Salmoniformes; Salmonidae.
CUCCCUGUGGCUCAGUUGGUAGAGCAUGGUGUUUGCAACACCAGGGUAGUGGGUUCGAUUCCCACGAGGGGCC